RNAcentral lists this long non-coding RNA (733 nucleotides) under Helianthus annuus (common sunflower). RNAcentral describes it as "sRNA HanXRQr2_Chr16g0744721". Lineage: Eukaryota; Viridiplantae; Streptophyta; Magnoliopsida; Asterales; Asteraceae. The record is from RNAcentral.
GUGGGGAACGACCAGAGCAGGAAGAAAAAGGGUAAAACCCUAAACUCCACAAAAUCUUCUAAUUGAAGGUGCAAUUGAAGACCAAACUCGGAUUUGAAUACAUAUAAACGAUCACCGAGCUAAGGGGAUCGUAAGCUGUACCUUAUAUGUUUGCGAAGUUGACUCUAAACAAGCUAGGUGGGAGCUUGGAAAGGAACGGGUCAAACGGAUCAUGGAUGCGAAGAAUGUUUGCGCGAACGCGAGGUAAGUAAAGCUUACACCCAUUUGUAGUAAACGUAUGUAUUUUAUAGAUGAUAAAUGUGACAACCGAUUACAUUCGAAAUUGAAGUUCCGACACUAAGCAAUAUGAGUCGGAACGAAUAAAAAUGAUCAAAACCAUGGUUAAUGGUAAAAUGGACAAAAGGGUAAUUUAGUCGUGGAUCGACUAAGAAUUUAUAAGAUUUCUUUAAGGUUACCUUAUAGCGAAACUAGUAAUGGGAAAAAGGGUAAAUUAGUCACAUGUUGACUAUAUGUAAGUUGGGAUUAAAAAGAAUACCCAUGGUGUAAGCCAUAACGAGUUAGAUACGUAAGAAGAAUGAUCUUGUAGUUAAAACUUGAAAUGGGUUGAAUGGGAUAUUAAAAGCCAUGAUUUGACAUAAGUAUAAAUGUUUGGUCAUAAAUACCAAAUGGGUCAAAUGGUGGUGAUGACACUAUUUGACAAUAUCGACUAAUGUUUGGUUGUUAAGUUAAAUGU